Non-coding RNA from Amborella trichopoda, 3142 nucleotides. The record is from RefSeq and is a predicted model, not a curated record. Lineage: Eukaryota; Viridiplantae; Streptophyta; Magnoliopsida; Amborellales; Amborellaceae.
AAUGGCAAAUCCGACCCCUCCUUCUUCGAUCGGUGUUGGGACUUUCGUCCUACUUGGUGGACUUCUGGCCAUCUAUCGGUCAGCAUAUGCCGGCUUGGGACAUCUUGAUGUUGGAGCAUUGUCAUCAAUGGGAAGGUCGUUGAUAGUGGUUUGAAUGCCGCUCGAGAACCUAACUCGUCAAAUACCCAAUUUUGGGUGAUCCAGACCGAUUCAGAUGCUUUUGAUUUGGGCUUAAUAACCCUCGGAAUGGGACUAUCCUAUUUUAGGGCAUAACAGAGUGAGCCUUUGACGCUUCUCUCCUAUCCCUUGUCAUAGACCCUGGGAUGAACUCAUAUGCUUAUCUUAAUGAUUUCUUUCUCUCUUCUUUUUUUUUUUUUUGCCAUAUUCCUUCUCCUUUCCCCCCCCCCUGUUUUUUUUUUUUUCUGUUUGUCUUUCCUAUCCUUGAAAUUCUAGGAUGGAUUGACCUGAUGGAUUAUAGUUGGGUUUUUAGCCUUGCAUUCCCCUGUCACACUAUUAUUUGGAGAUGGGGUCUUAUCUUGCCAUUGUUCUUUGCCCCAGCCUACCCCUCUAUCUUCUACUCGCCAUAUAUACAGGAUACACUGGUGGGCAAGGAUUCUUUCUCCUCGAUUGAUCAAGCAAGUCAGGGACAUCGGCUUAUGGGAGGUAUGUUAGAUUGAUGCCUUCCCCUUGGACAUGGCACUCAUUAGUGCUCUAGUUCAUCGAUUUCAACCUGAGACUGUGACUUUCCCCUUUCCUUGUGGGGAAACCGGCAUCACACUAGAGGUUGUGACUUAGAUCCUUGGGGUUAGGAGUGAUGGGGUACCCCUUCUUUAUGAUCCUCCUCCAGGUGGCCAUUCUGUAUGGGGAGAGGUCCACGAGUUGUUGGGAUAUAUUCCUCUUAGGGAGUGAAGGCGGGGCGAGAAGUGGAUUUUGGAGGCCAUCGAGGGUAUAAAGCUCCAGUGGUUUGAGGUAGAUGAGCACUCAAGGAGCGUACUGACUUGGGCAAGAAAACUGCCUGUCAAGCCCAAGUCGACACGAGCUAAGAAGGCCCUAGUGAGCGGUGCAUCUGUUGCUCCUAUUGAGGCUGAGGAACCUAUGUUAGAGCCUGAGGAUGAGGAGAGGGAGGCUUCUCCUUCUGCUUCAUCUUCUGCGAUCGAAUCUGAGAACUAGGUGCAGAAUGACGAGACCCUUAUAUCGACUCCCCAGAUGGAUGGAUGAUGCAAAUAGCAUAGGUAUCAGUCUUAAGCGCCCUAGGAGGGCUUGUACUCUCAGGGGGGUUAGGAGAAAGGGGCUUCCCCUCCCUAAUCCACCAGCUCAUGACCAGGUAGAUGAUUUCAUCGAGGGUUCCAUUCCCUUAGCUGAUGUUUUGGUUGGAGAGACCUAUGGAGCAGGUGGAGUAGGAGAUGCAGUUACUUCUGUGGGAUCGGCUCGUAUAGAGAGAGUUACUGGGGAGACCGAGUCCCUUGGGGAUGAUCAUGAUAUUCCUGCAGAGGCCGAGGGAGAGGUCCCUGUUGAGGUUGAGGAAGGUGUUAUUGGGAUAAGGGAGUCUUCAGUCCUAACUACGAUCACCCUUGCGAUGCUGAGGUUACAAUGGUGUAUAGGCAAGCAGUUCGAGGUUUUCUUGUGUACAUUUUUGGUGCCCUUCUAUUUCUUGACCUUUCCAAGGGCAACCCCAUGUUCAGUUGGUUUGGACCAUUCGGGACGUCAAGUAUCUCCAUCAUGUAGCAUGGGGUUCGGUUAUUUUAGCCUUCCUCCUUUCGGGUUUGUGGGAGGCCGCCCUUGGGUAUGUGAGUUAUGUUAAUGGUUUUACAGCCGUACUUCAGGUAUUUUAUUAUUCGAACUUCCCUUCUCUUAUUUUCUUUCCUUUUUAGGAUUUCAUCCUAAUUGAGGGCUCUUGAGCCUAGAACACAUUGAUGUGACCAGGCCACUUAUUUUGAGUACUGCCAAAAGCUUUACUCAUAUCCAUCGUUGAGCGCAGGGUAAGUGAAUGUGUAGGCUUUUAUAGUGGAUCAUUAUACACUGAUCUUUGACGUCAUGGAGGAGACAAAGAUCAGAUGCGCUCCUGCUUCUGGUGAUGAGCCCCUAGAGAUAGUAUAGUGAUCUCAAAGGUCUUUUUUACGACUGCUCCUCUGAUUUGCAUGUAUGUCGUGGAGGCAUACCAUUCAGAUAGGCUCCUUCGACACUUUCGGCACCCCCAGGUGGAGCUACCAAAUGUAGAUGUCUUUGUUGUCCUUGAGAUCAGUCUGGGGCAAGAUUAUUGGUGGGACUUGUCUCCUUACCAUACCCAAUGAGAUCAUCGCCACUAAUUUCAGUUGACGAGAUAUGAGCCGAGCGUAAUGACUUUAGAUCGAGGCUGAGGCAGUUGCAGGAGCAGUGAGCUCAGUUGCAGAGGGAGCAUGAGGAUGUUGUUAGAAGCAGGUCCCAGAUAGAGCGCAGGAGGGACUCCCUUCGUGACUCUUCUCAGAUGGCCUCUCCCCUUCCACUAGUGGGAUCUCCAGGUAUUCCCCUUGCACCGCAGACUUCCCAGGGUCCUUCGACUAACGAGUUCGAGUGCUUGUGUUCUCAGGUCAUCCUAUAUCGGUCCGAGUGCUAAAGACUUCGAUCUGAGAGGGUGCGCAAUUAUUAUAUAUUCUUUUUUUUAUGCUUGCAUUUGACUCAUAUUGAUUUUUAACCCCUUUUGCCUCUUUCCUCUGUUUCUUUUCCUUUUUGGGCCAAGACCAUGCCCUACGUGAGUAUGCUAGUAGUGCAAGCGUUGUGGCUGCUUUGGAGGGGUAACCAUUGGGGGGACCGAUCCUUCUCAUAUCAUAGAGCACGCUUUGGCUCGAUAUCCUCAUCCCCCUCCUUUGGAGCGUACAUAGAGCUUAGCCAUAUCCAGCUGUGCCUUACGAGUAGGUGCAAGCGAGCAUCGUCCUGUGGAUAGUACAUCGCUACCGGGAGCAUAGGAUUAGGAGGCCUCUUCAUCUCAUCAUCCUUCCAGGAGUUGCCACUCCCAAAGCCCUGCAUUUUGACGGAUAUUUGAUCCUCGGGCUUUGCAUGCCCUUUGUGGUUGACUCUUUUUUAUCACCACAAUUUUUGGAUUAGUUGUUUGUAUGGAUAGGCUUAUCUUUUGUUUGCUAAUAUCAUGGCAUGCACAUUCAUUGUA